UACGUAGGGUGCGAGCGUUAAUCGGAAUUACUGGGCGUAAAGCGUACGCAGGCGGCCAUGUAAGACAGGUGUGAAAUCCCCGGGCUUAACCUGGGAACUGCAUUUGUGACUGCAUGGCUAGAGUUUGUCAGAGGGGGGUGGAAUUCCACGUGUAGCAGUGAAAUGCGUAGAGAUGUGGAGGAACACCGAUGGCGAAGGCAGCCCCCUGGGACAUGACAGACGCUCAUGUACGAAAGCGUGGGGAGCAAACAGG
RNAcentral lists this ribosomal RNA (253 nucleotides) under uncultured bacterium. RNAcentral describes it as "partial 16S ribosomal RNA". It matches the Rfam family "Bacterial small subunit ribosomal RNA", at positions 524 to 776 of the family's 1533-position model. The record is from RNAcentral.